Molecule: ribosomal RNA, 180 nt
Filed under: Pleosporales sp. MH179
Lineage: Eukaryota; Fungi; Ascomycota; Dothideomycetes; Pleosporales
Description: 5.8S ribosomal RNA
Rfam family: 5.8S ribosomal RNA (bases 68-180)
About the family: 5.8S ribosomal RNA (5.8S rRNA) is a component of the large subunit of the eukaryotic ribosome. It is transcribed by RNA polymerase I as part of the 45S precursor that also contains 18S and 28S rRNA. Functionally, it is thought that 5.8S rRNA may be involved in ribosome translocation.
Source: RNAcentral
CCGGCUGGACAAAACUUAUAACCUUUUUUAAUCUUCAAUCAGCGUCUGAAUUAUACAUAAUAAUUACAACUUUCAACAACGGAUCUCUUGGUUCUGGCAUCGAUGAAGAACGCAGCGAAAUGCGAUAAGUAGUGUGAAUUGCAGAAUUCAGUGAAUCAUCGAAUCUUUGAACGCACAUUG